GUAUCAAAGAAGAUCAACACCACCCUUGUUAUUCUUGCACCACUCAUCACAAUGUGCAAGAUGGAUAGGACAAGAGAUACAGCGAGAACGAUCAACCAGCAAAUCAGGAGAAAGUAACAGCAGCCCAGCCCAUGUGUCAUCAACACACCUUGGAUGUCAAAGUUCACAGCAGACAACAGACAGACAUGGAUAACUUUUC
Molecule: long non-coding RNA, 199 nt
Organism: Solanum tuberosum (potato)
Lineage: Eukaryota; Viridiplantae; Streptophyta; Magnoliopsida; Solanales; Solanaceae
Exons: 2
Source: RefSeq, a predicted model, not a curated record